This 253-nucleotide ribosomal RNA is filed under the name uncultured bacterium. RNAcentral's name for it is "partial 16S ribosomal RNA". It matches the Rfam family "Bacterial small subunit ribosomal RNA", at positions 524 to 776 of the family's 1533-position model. RNAcentral also lists the same sequence under 2 other names. The record is from RNAcentral.
UACAGAGGGUGCGAGCGUUAAUCGGAAUUACUGGGCGUAAAGCGUGCGUAGACGGUUAUGUAAGUCGGGUGUGAAAGCCCCGGGCUCAACCUGGGAAUGCCAUUCGAGACUGCAUAGCUAGGGUGCGGAAGAGGGAAGCGGAAUUUCAGGUGUAGCGGUGAAAUGCGUAGAUAUCUGAAGGAACACCAGUGGCGAAAGCGGCUUCCUGGUCCAGCACCGACGUUCAGGCACGAAAGCGUGGGGAGCAAACAGG